AGUGAACGCUGGCGGUAGGCCUAACACAUGCAAGUCGAACGGCAGCACAGUAAGAGCUUGCUCUUACGGGUGGCGAGUGGCGGACGGGUGAGGAAUACAUCGGAAUCUACCUUUUCGUGGGGGAUAACGUAGGGAAACUUACGCUAAUACCGCAUACGACCUACGGGUGAAAGCAGGGGAUCUUCGGACCUUGCGCGAUUGAAUGAGCCGAUGUCGGAUUAGCUAGUUGGCGGGGUAAAGGCCCACCAAGGCGACGAUCCGUAGCUGGUCUGAGAGGAUGAUCAGCCACACUGGAGCUGAGACACGGUCCAGACUCCGAAGGGAGGCAGCAGUGGGGAAUAUUGGACAAUGGGCGCAAGCCUGAUCCAGCCAUACCGCGUGGGUGAAGAAGGCCUUCGGGUUGUAAAGCCCUUUUGUUGGGAAAGAAAAGCAGCAGGUUAAUACCCCGCUGUUCUGACGGUACCCAAAGAAUAAGCACCGGCUAACUUCGUG
This 492-nucleotide ribosomal RNA is filed under the name uncultured bacterium. RNAcentral's name for it is "partial 16S ribosomal RNA". It matches the Rfam family "Bacterial small subunit ribosomal RNA", at positions 29 to 507 of the family's 1533-position model. The record is from RNAcentral.